RNAcentral lists this ribosomal RNA (400 nucleotides) under uncultured bacterium. RNAcentral describes it as "bacterial SSU rRNA". It matches the Rfam family "Bacterial small subunit ribosomal RNA", at positions 355 to 768 of the family's 1533-position model. The record is from RNAcentral.
UGGGGAAUCUUGCACAAUGGGCGGAAGCCUGAUGCAGCGACGCCGCGUGCGGGACGAAGGCCUUCGGGCUGUAAACCGCUUUCAGCAGGGACGAGGCGAGAGUGACGGUACCUGCAGAAGAAGCCCCGGCUAACUACGUGCCAGCAGCCGCGGUAAUACGUAGGGGGCAAGCGUUAUCCGGAUUCAUUGGGCGUAAAGCGCGCGUAGGCGGCCAGCCUGGUCGGGAGUCAAAUCCGGGGGCUCAACCCCCGUCCGCUCCCGAUACCGGCCGGCUUGAGUCUGGCAGGGGAAGGCGGAAUUCCCGGUGUAGCGGUGGAAUGCGCAGAUAUCGGGAAGAACACCGGUGGCGAAGGCGGCCUUCUGGGCCACGACUGACGCUGAGGCGCGAAAGCUAGGGGAG